This 253-nucleotide ribosomal RNA is filed under the name uncultured bacterium. Its description in RNAcentral is "partial 16S ribosomal RNA". It matches the Rfam family "Bacterial small subunit ribosomal RNA", at positions 524 to 776 of the family's 1533-position model. The record is from RNAcentral.
UACGUAGGGUGCGAGCGUUAAUCGGAAUUACUGGGCGUAAAGCGUGCGCAGGCGGUAAGUUAAGUCUGAUGUGAAAGCCCCGGGCUCAACCUGGGAAUGGCAUUGGAAACUGGCUUGCUAGAGUGUGGCAGAGGGGGGUGGAAUUCCGCGUGUAGCAGUGAAAUGCGUAGAGAUACGGAGGAACACCGAUGGCGAAGGCAGCCCCCUGGGCCGACACUGACGCUCAGGCACGAAAGCGUGGGUAGCAAACAGG